AGAAAACACACACAAGAACCAUAAUAAGACUCUACUUUGAAACACAAGACUGACAAUUUGAACUGGAGAAACUCUCAGUUACUGUAAAUCCAGGAUAAACAUCAAGCAGACGCGCCUCGCGCAAACAUUACAUUUGUUUUCAAGUCAACAACUAAAGAAUACCAAAAGAAGCAUUUUGCUUUUUUUUCUUUUUUGUCUUAAUGCUGAAGAAAAUAUAUGGAAACCUUGAAUCUGUUGAAAUAGAGAAGCCAAAAGGCAGAACUUGCACUGUAUUUGAAGCAGAAUAACAGCCACCAUCCGAAUCCCAACCACAAACUAAAAAUUAGUAUCUCAGCCACAUUCUCCUCGAAAGGAAGAACGAAGAACAGAACAUAUCCCAAAACUUAUUAUCCGAUCAACUUUGGUAGGACCAAGUAUAUUAUACGACAGGGAACUAACUUUUCCAUCAGUAUCGAGCUACCGUUCAUGCAUACUCACUUAAGGACCUUUUUUCCAGACCCACUGGCCUCAUCAAGCUGGAAAGCUCUAGGAUCAAGAGGAAUUGUUCCAAUAGUCAGGAAACCAGAAGAUUCAGCAUGUCCAUUAACUUUAACAGGCAUAGAUCCCACUGUGACAACAUCAACUGACUGGGUGCUGGCCACUGUAUUAGUAGUGCUAUGUACAUCCAGCGGCUUAUCUUUCAAUGGUUUCGGGUUGAUAGUUAAGGAACCAAUUUUCAGUGCAGUAUUCACAAGUGGACCUCCUUCAGCCACAAGUUUGUCACCAUUAUCUGCACUCUCUUUGUUAGCUUUAGAAACUAUUGAAUUCAGUUCUGCAGGAACAGCCAUGCAACUUCCAGAUUGUUGUUGUUCACUACACUUUGAGAUCUUCUCACUUUCACCAGAAGGUAAACCUGGAGUAGAAUUUAGCUUGAGUGGAAGAUCCAGUACAGGAACAGCACUAUACUUUGAGAUCUUCUCACUUCCACCAGAAGGUAGACCUGGAGUAGAAUUUAGCUUGCGUGGAGGAUCAAGUGCAGGAACAGCAAAUGGGUUAUCGUAGCUCCUGAUUAGCAGCUUGGCUUUCUCUUCCUGCAAGAGUUUCUGUCUGUUUUCAUAAUACAUGAAGUCAUCUAGCAAUGAUGUCCUUGACGCAUAAUCCUUAAAUACUUUCAGCAUCUCAAUGCCUUUCUUGUAGCGUAUCUCUUGUGUGUCUCUGCUGUUAGUUACUGGCUUGUUCUCAUUGUUCUCUAAUAUAAUAUGCCUAAAGUUAGGGUUAGGGACAUCCUUUAUGAAGUGCCACUUCACAGGGAAGCUACCACUCCACUUAUCUUGCUGCCAGAAAUCCAUGUCCUUGUAGAAGUCUACAGGACCAGUCAUUUCGGCGACCCCACAAAACUGCCCACUUGCAUUAACCGAGAAAAAAAGGAAUAUCGGGCAGCCUCUUGGAUUUCCAGGAGUAAUUCUCUGAGCAUCUUCAUAAGCACUAUUUAGCUUUUUGUUCCCAUUAGGGGUUGAUGACCAAACAUUGUACUUUAUACUCUUGUGCACAUCAUCCUCACUGUAUGAUUUGAUCACAAAAAACUUUGCGUUCACGAAGUCCAUCAGAAAAUCACCCCUAUUGUACUCAUCAGCAUGAAUAACUAUAUUUCCUUGCACAUCAACAUUUCCUGCUCUUGUAGAGUAGGCCUUCACAAGCAAUUGCUUUUUCAUUUUGUCAAUUCGAGGUCCUCUAUUCUGUUCCAUCAACAUAUCAGGACUAACUUUCCCAUCACUUGGGAUUGUUCCAUUUAGAAACUUUGUCCUGAUUUUAUCUGUAUUAGCCUGAUCAUGAGCACCUGAUCUGUGAUUAGACAAGUCAAUUUCAGGUGGAAGAGGAGCUCUCAGUUGACCGUGAUUAGACAAAACCUUCCCAUGAAUAAUGCUUCCUAUAGCUUGAGCAACUGUACCCGGGUGUACCUGAGAGGAUGGACUGGAAAAACCAUGUGACACGUGCUGCUUGCCCGAUGCAGCAUUGAUCUUUGCACUUUCAGAUCCCCUGUUAGAUGCACUUUUAUAACCUGAAGCUGGCCCUAAUGAAGUCGGGGUAAAUAUUGGAGAUGUUGGAGAUAAAUUACGUUUAAGACGAAGAUCAUCAGCUCUGUUAGUAGAAGAUAUAACACUAUCCAUUAUCG
This 2152-nucleotide unclassified non-coding RNA is filed under the name Hevea brasiliensis (rubber tree). Lineage: Eukaryota; Viridiplantae; Streptophyta; Magnoliopsida; Malpighiales; Euphorbiaceae. The record is from RNAcentral.